UCAGAUCCUCAUGCCACAGGGCUCUGUAGCCACCAAACUGAUUACCUACUGGGAAAAGAAAAGCCCACUGACGUAUAAUGAUAAUCCUGCAACAGACGAAAGAAACUUUAGGGUCAUCUUUCUGAGAUCGUUGCUCAGGGGUCAGGCCCCAGGUGUUAAGAAGAGCAGGCAUUACAAGGUUUAUUGAGAAGAAUAUGACAGGGAUGCAUUACCAGGUGCAGCAUGAUGAGAUGGAAGACAGGACUGCACCUGGCUCUGAGGUCAGCCUCAGCGUGAAGGAGGCAAUAUGUUUGACUCUGUGGUUGGGGUGGAGAACUUUGGGUCACUUCUCUCUGGAGUGAAGAGACGACAGCUAAUCAGCUUCCAGUCUAAGGCAGCAGCCUUCCUUUCCCAGGUCUGAAGUGAGAUCCAGGACUACACAUUUUCAGCGAACUCCCUGUGUGAUACUAUGGUG
RNAcentral lists this long non-coding RNA (454 nucleotides) under Homo sapiens (human). RNAcentral describes it as "HSALNT0059075". The record is from RNAcentral. Lineage: Eukaryota; Metazoa; Chordata; Mammalia; Primates; Hominidae.